AAAUAAUGCUGACCGUACCAAACCAACGCAGGUGGGCAGAUCUAGUACAUCAAGGUGAUCGAGAUAACGGCACUUAAGGAACUCGGCAAAUUGACCCUGUAACUUCGGGAUGAGGGGGGCCCCGGUAACGCGGGGCGUUUAAAACAAAGAAGGAGCAACUGUUUAUUAAAAACACAGGACCCUGCGAAAUGGCAACAUGACGUAUAGGGUCUGACGCCUGCCCGGUGCCAUUGGGCGAAAGCGAAGCGUGUUUGCGCCUAGUAUAAGCCUCGGUAAACGGCGGCUGUAACUCUGACGGUCCUAAGGUAGCGAAAUUCCUUGGCGGGUAAGUUCCGUCCUGCACGAAUGGCGUAAUGACUUCUUCACUGUCUCAAGUGCCGGCUCGGUGAAAUUGAAUUCCUCGUGAAGAUGCGGGGAUGUCGCGGCCGGACGGAAAGACCCUGUGCACCUUUACUAUAACCUUGCGUUGCCCGGAUUGCGGGCUUGUUCAGCAUAGGCGGGAGCUUGUCUUUAAGAAGCGUUAGUGAGAUACCGUCCUUGUCCUUUAUUCGGGCCCCUUGCAUGGUUGGUAGUUUGGCUGGGGUGGCCGCCUCCUAAAGGGUAACGGGGGCGCGCAAUGGUGAGCUCGAUCCGAUAUUCGGAGUAAGAGCGCAAUGGUAAAAGCUCGCCUGACUGAAAGACUGACAGGUCGAUCAGGGACGCAAGUCGGCCAUAGUGACCCGACGAUGCUGCGCGGAAAGGUCGUCGAUCAACGGAUAAAAGGUACGCCAGGGAUAACAGGCUAAUAACCCCUAAGAGACCAAAUCGCCGGGGUUGUUUGGCACCUCGAUGUCGGCUCAUCGCAUCCUGGAGCUGUAG
RNAcentral lists this ribosomal RNA (858 nucleotides) under Lotharella oceanica. RNAcentral describes it as "partial Bacterial large subunit ribosomal RNA". It matches the Rfam family "Bacterial large subunit ribosomal RNA", at positions 1630 to 2558 of the family's 2925-position model. The record is from RNAcentral. Lineage: Eukaryota; Cercozoa; Chlorarachniophyceae.